Molecule: ribosomal RNA, 275 nt
Filed under: Thecophora metallica
Lineage: Eukaryota; Metazoa; Arthropoda; Insecta; Diptera; Conopidae
Description: partial 12S ribosomal RNA
Source: RNAcentral
CAGAGGAACCUGUUCUAUAAUCGAUAAUCCACGAUGGACCUUGCUUAAAUUUGUAGUCAGUUUAUAUACCGUCGUUAUCAGAAGAUUUUAAAAGAAAUUUAAUUUUCAAUAAUUUUAAUAAAAAUUUAUAUCAGAUCAAGGUGUAGCUUAUAUUUAAGAAGAAAUGGGUUACAAUUAAUUUAUUAAUGGAUUUAUUUAUGAAAAAAAUAAUGAAAUUGGAUUUGACAGUAAAAAUUUAAAGAAUAAAAUUUUGAUUUUAGCUCUAAAAUAUGCAC